This 61-nucleotide transfer RNA is filed under the name Haploginglymus sp. JP-2016. RNAcentral's name for it is "tRNA-Cys". The record is from RNAcentral. Lineage: Eukaryota; Metazoa; Arthropoda; Malacostraca; Amphipoda; Niphargidae.
AAUUAGAAGGUGUAUUAAUACAUAUUAAGUUGCAAAUUUAAGGAAGUCUGGACUCUAAUUA